RNAcentral lists this ribosomal RNA (527 nucleotides) under uncultured Actinomycetes bacterium. Its description in RNAcentral is "bacterial SSU rRNA". It matches the Rfam family "Bacterial small subunit ribosomal RNA", at positions 8 to 522 of the family's 1533-position model. Lineage: Bacteria; Bacillati; Actinomycetota; Actinomycetes. The record is from RNAcentral.
AGAGUUUGAUCCUGGCUCAGGACGAACGCUGGCGGCGCGCUUAACACAUGCAAGUCGAGCGAGAACCAGUCCUUCGGGACUGGGGACAGCGGCGAACGGGUGAGUAACACGUGGGUAAUCUGCCCUCGAUUCUGGGAUAGCCCGGGGAAACCCGGAUUAAUACCGGAUAGCCUCUCGAGCUUUCGAGCUUGUGAGAAAAGGUAGCUUCGGCCUCCGAUCGAGGAUGAGCCCGCGGCGGAUUAGCUUGUUGGUGGGGUAAUGGCCUACCAAGGCGACGAUCCGUAGCUGGUCUGAGAGGACGAUCAGCCACACUGGGACUGAGACACGGCCCAGACUCCUACGGGAGGCAGCAGUGGGGAAUCUUGCGCAAUGGGCGAAAGCCUGACGCAGCGACGCCGCGUGGGGGAAGAAGGCCUUCGGGUUGUAAACCUCUUUCAGCAGGGACGAAGCCACUCGGGUUAAUAGCCCAGAGGGUGACGGUACCUGCAGAAGAAGCCCCGGCUAACUACGUGCCAGCAGCCGCGGUA